GACGAACGCUGGCGGCGUGCUAACACAUGCAAGUCGAACGGAACUGUUUGAAAGAUUCUUCGGAAUGAAUUUGAUUUAGUUUAGUGGCGGACGGGUGAGUAACGCGUGAGUAACCUGCCUUCAAGGGGGGGAUAACAUUCUGAAAAGAAUGCUAAUACCGCAUGACAUAUCGGAAUCACAUGAUUUUGAUAUCAAAGAUUUUAUCGCUUGAAGAUGGACUCGCGUCCGAUUAGUUAGUUGGUGAGGUAACGGCUCACCAAGACCGCGAUCGGUAGCCGGACUGAGAGGUUGAACGGCCACAUUGGGACUGAGACACGGCCCAGACUCCUACGGGAGGCAGCAGUGGGGGAUAUUGCGCAAUGGGGGCAACCCUGACGCAGCAACGCCGCGUGAAGGAUGAAGGUUUUCGGAUUGUAAACUUCUUUUAUUAAGGACGAAAAUUGACGGUACUUAAUGAAUAAGCUCCGGCUAACUACGUGCCAGCAGCCGCGGUAAUACGUAGGGAGCAAGCGUUGUCCGGAUUUACUGGGUGUAAAGGGUGCGUAGGCGGCUUUGCAAGUCAGAUGUGAAAUCUAUGGGCUCAACCCAUAAACUGCAUUUGAAACUGUAGAGCUUGAGUGAAGUAGAGGCAGGCGGAAUUCCCCGUGUAGCGGUGAAAUGCGUAGAGAUGGGGAGGAACACCAGUGGCGAAGGCGGCCUGCUGGGCUUUAACUGACGCUGAGGCACGAAAGCGUGGGUAGCA
Molecule: ribosomal RNA, 742 nt
Filed under: uncultured Lachnospiraceae bacterium
Lineage: Bacteria; Bacillati; Bacillota; Clostridia; Lachnospirales; Lachnospiraceae
Description: bacterial SSU rRNA
Rfam family: Bacterial small subunit ribosomal RNA
Source: RNAcentral